UACGUAGGUGGCAAGCGUUGUCCGGAAUUAUUGGGCGUAAAGCGCGCGCAGGCGGUUCCUUAAGUCUGAUGUGAAAGCCCCCGGCUCAACCGGGGAGGGUCAUUGGAAACUGGGGACUUGAGUGCAGGAGAGGAAAGCGGAAUUCCACGUGUAGCGGUGAAAUGCGUAGAUAUGGUGGAGGAACACCAGUGGCGAAGGCGGCUUUCUGGUCUGUAACUGACGCUGAGGCGCGAAAGCGUGGGGGAGCAAACAGG
RNAcentral lists this ribosomal RNA (254 nucleotides) under uncultured bacterium. RNAcentral's name for it is "partial 16S ribosomal RNA". It matches the Rfam family "Bacterial small subunit ribosomal RNA", at positions 524 to 776 of the family's 1533-position model. The record is from RNAcentral.